RNAcentral lists this signal recognition particle RNA (148 nucleotides) under Gorilla gorilla gorilla (western lowland gorilla). Its description in RNAcentral is "Metazoan signal recognition particle RNA". It matches the Rfam family "Metazoan signal recognition particle RNA". Rfam says of the family: The signal recognition particle (SRP) is a universally conserved ribonucleoprotein. Lineage: Eukaryota; Metazoa; Chordata; Mammalia; Primates; Hominidae. The record is from Rfam by way of RNAcentral.
GCUGGGCAUGAUGGCUCAUGCCUGUAGUCCUAACUACUCAGGAAGCUGAGGUGGGAGGAUCAUUUGAGCCCAGGAGGUUGAGGCUGCAGUGAGCCAUGAUUGCACCACUGCACUCCAGCUAGGGCAACAGAGUGAGACCCCAUCUCAA